RNAcentral lists this ribosomal RNA (655 nucleotides) under uncultured fungus. RNAcentral describes it as "LSU rRNA". It matches the Rfam family "Eukaryotic large subunit ribosomal RNA", at positions 399 to 918 of the family's 3401-position model. Lineage: Eukaryota; Fungi. The record is from RNAcentral.
GUGAAAUUGUUGAAAGGGAAACGCUUGACACCAGUCAUGCGAGCGGAAAAUCAGUCUUUUGCAGUGGGGGGUUGUGUGGGAUCGGACCGCAAGGCCGGCCUAUGCUGCAUCUCUGCUGUAAGUGAUGCACUUUUUCGUUUGCAGGCCAACAUCAGUUUCUUCUGCUGGACAAAACUCUUGAGAAGGUAGCAGCUUUGGCUGUGUUAUAGCUCUUGAGCGAUACAGUGGAGGGGACUGAGGUUUUCGCAGCGCGUGCUUUCGGGCAAGGCUGAUUGGGUGCUAUGGGAUCGUUCGGUGUACAAUGCAUGCAUUUUGCGCCGUGUCUUUUCUGUACUCGCUCAACUCGGCUCUUCCGCGCUUAGGAUGUUGGCUUAAUGGUUUUAAUCGACCCGUCUUGAAACACGGACCAAGGAGUCUAACAUAUAUGCAAGUGUUUGGGUGGCAAACCCAUGCGCGUAAUGAAAGUGAACGUAGGUGCCAUCCGCAAGGUGCAGCAUCGACCGAUCUUGAUAUUUUUGGAUAGAUUUGAGUAAGAGCAUAUAUGCUGGGACCCGAAAGAUGGUGAACUAUGCCUGAAUAGGGUGAAGCCAGAGGAAACUCUGGUGGAGGCUCGUAGCGAUUUCUGACGUGCAAAUCGAUCGUCAAAUUUGGGUAU